UCGGCAUUGGAAUGAGUACAAUCUAAAUCCUUUAACGAGGAACAAUUGGAGGGCAAGUUCUGGUGCCAGCAGCCGCGGUAAUUCCAGCUCGAAUAGCGUAUAUUAAAGUUGUUGCAGUUAAAAAGCUCGUAGUUGGAUAUCAGGAGAUGAUUCACGGACUUCUUAAUGGAGCAACCGUGUUUUCGCUCCUCUUUGUACCGUUUCAUCGUCGAUGCACUUUAUUGUGUGUCACGUUUGAACGGCCUUUUUACUUUGAGAAAAUUAGCGUGCUUAACGCAGGCGUUACAGCUUGUAUAAUGUUGCAUGGAAUAAUGAAAUAGGACCUCGGUUCUGUUUUGUUGGUUUCCGGAAGCUGAGGUAAUGAUUAAUAGGGACAGACGGGGGCAUUCGUAUUGUGGUGUUAGAGGUGAAAUUCUUGGAUCACCGCCAGACGAACAACUGCGAAAGCAUUUGCCAAGAAUGUUUUCAUUAAUCAAGAACGAAAGUUAGAGGUUCGAAGACGAUUAGAUACCGUCCUAGUUCUAACUAUAAACUAUGCCAACUGGGGAUCCGUCGAUUGCCAUUUGUAGGCUCGGCGGGCACCCUACGGGAAACCAAAGUGAACAGGUUCCGGGGGGAGUAUGGUUGCAAAAUCGAAACUUAAAGGAAUUGACGGAGGGGCACACCAGAAGUGGAGCCUGCGGCUCAAUUUGACUCAACGCACGAAAACUUACCCGGCCCGAACACCGUGAGGAUUGACAGAUUGACAGCUCUUUCUUGAUUCGGUGGGUGGUGGUGCAUGGCCGUUCGUAGUUGGUGGAGCGAUUUGUCUGGUUUAUUCCGAUAACGAACGAGACUCUAGCCUAUUAAUUAGGGUGCCGAUUCAAUUAGUCGGCAUUGUUAAACUUCUUAGAGGGACAGGUGCUUCUUAAGCACACGAAGAGGAGCAAUAACAGGUCUGUGAUGCCCUUAGAUGUUCGGGGCUGCACGCGCGCUACAAUGGAGGGCUCAGAAAGCAUAUCGAUUUCGACAGAAAUCGGGAAUCAAAAAUAGCCUUCUUGAUUGGGAUCGGAGAUUGUAAUUAUUCUUCGUCAACGAGGAAUUCCUAGUAAACGCGAAUCAUUAUUUCGUGUUGAUUAAGUCCCUGCCCUUUGUACACACCGCCCGUCGCUACUACCGAUUGAAUGGCUUAGUGAGGUCUACGGAUAGGCUACAAGGUAGCCAUCAGCUCUGUUGUAUUACCUAAAAGUUGGCCGAACUUUAC
Molecule: ribosomal RNA, 1243 nt
Filed under: Nephridiacanthus major
Lineage: Eukaryota; Metazoa; Acanthocephala; Archiacanthocephala; Oligacanthorhynchida; Oligacanthorhynchidae
Description: SSU rRNA
Rfam family: Eukaryotic small subunit ribosomal RNA
Source: RNAcentral